UACAUUUUAAAAAUGUAAAAAUAAUGAUGUAUUCUUAGCUAACUAGCUACAGUGGAGGCUAACUCAGAUGAGCUGCUAACAUAGCUAGAUAGCUAGCUAUCGAGACAACUUUACAUACUGUACAGCUAGUUAGCUAAGUUAAUUAAAUAUCACCAGCUACCUAAUUUCAUAUUAGCUAGCUAUUGUGAUGUAUUUAUCAUUGUAAAAAAUAAAAAAAUAAAAAAUGCAUUUGUAGGAAGCUAGCUAAGGAUAGCAGCUCCAACUGAAUAGGGCAGGUACUUUGGUGUAGUUCCAGUCUCUAGAAAGGAGUGAGGACAGAGAUGAUAGUAGCACCAUAAUAUUCAGUGCUGUCUAAUUGGAGUAUAAGGAAGUCUAGUUUUUGUGAUGUUUUCUGUCCUCAGCUACAGAGAGCUGUGAACGCCUGUUGUAUGCAGAUGAAGAGCGGCGGUUCUCAGUCUAGGUCCUGGGGACUCAAAAGGGAUACCUUGCAACUGGAGAUUCCUCCUAAACAAUUCCCUACAGUUACCGUGUAGGGCACCGCACGAUUGGGUGUCCAGGGCCACCUGGGAAUGCCUCGUGGGGAAAUUCAGGCAUGUGUGAAGGCUACCUGUGUCCUGCAUAACUUCAUGAGGAUGGACACGAGGACCAAGAGGGGACCUGCAGCUUGCCGCCGUGUGCCAGAGGAGAGGUCUGCUGCUCUGCAGGAUGUUGCAAGGAUGGGGGCCAACAAUGCAGCACUGGAGGCAAUCCGUGUGGGAAGGCCUUUACCUCCUACUUACCUGGCAACACCAUAUACCACACUUUGCAUAACCAAAGGCUCUUUUAAGAGCCACCCACCUUGCAAUAAGAGUAUUCUUCCAUUUACUUAGGUAUGUCAACUGCAGUUAUUCAAUUUCCAGUUUCUCUCCCUUUGAUUUAUACUUCUUAAGUGAGGGUGCCGUUUAGGUAAAAUUAAAAAAAAAUUACAAAAAUGUUUACCUUAUUUAACCGUGCUGUUCAGGUAAGGGUGAUGUCUGUACAUAAACAAAGAGUCACCCAUAUUGAAAAAAAUGUGAACAAUAAGACACCCUACAACCCACACCUACAUUGUUGUGUAUCAAGUGUAUAGGCUCAGGUGUAUAACUGGCUCCUUCCACCAUCAAAGAAUAGGCAAGAGGACCAACCAUGGAGAAUAGUAAGGCACGCCACUAUUUAUAUUUAAGUAAGUACUUUAUAUCGUUUGUCCUCGUGUGUCUGUGCAUGUUUUUCAGUAUAAAGUACUCUGCAGCCACACACACAGAUUCCAGUUGAACACUGUCUCUUUUAACUACCUUGUUUUCUCAAUAACAACCCCUUCUCCCUAAAUCCUCUAGGUUAGAUCACCUGUAUCGGUGAACCCCUCCCGCUUCCGAACUGCCUGACACAUAGAGGGCACAGCAUGAUCAGAGGUAUGUUUUGGUGUGAGAGAGGAUGCCAACCCCCAGCCCCGUCAUCCCCACCUCACCGACUCUAAAAUAACCCUCUGGCCAACUGGGGGCCCAAGAAUGGUUAGGAGACAUUGUUAGAGACACUGUUAUGUAAUUGUGAUGACCUGAGAGAAUGUGUAGUUUAGUAGCACUGUAAUUCAUUAAUCAUAUGCUGUCUUCCCUGCUCCUCCGGUCUUAUCUCUUUCCCUUUCUGUUUAUUACACUUUCUCUCACGCCUUUCUCCCCACCUCAUCUUUCUUCCUCUGUUUUUAGAAUGCCCACCAGAUGUGCAUGGAAGUACAGAUAGAACUUAUAUUUAUAAUAUUACGUAUUUAUAACUUGGAUAAUGAACUUCUUCAAUAAAGCUUUUCACAUUCUCUA
Molecule: long non-coding RNA, 1826 nt
Organism: Oncorhynchus tshawytscha (Chinook salmon)
Lineage: Eukaryota; Metazoa; Chordata; Actinopteri; Salmoniformes; Salmonidae
Exons: 3
Source: RefSeq, a predicted model, not a curated record